AAAGGUUUAAGUAUCGUAAGGUAAUAUGUUUAGAACUCUAAAUGAAUAAAACUUGAUUAAAUCAUUAGUAUGGGAGCGGCAGCAGGACAUCAAGGAUCGCCACUUCACCCGCAUUGUCUUAUUUUCUUACAUUUUUUAUUUCUUACAGAUGGAAGCCUUAAAUCACCCCUGUCCCUGAUGAACUCUGCCUUUGCCCAUCUGCAGUGGGCCAAUGUCUUCUCUGAACUAUACCUGCUUUGAGGUGAACCAACUUGGGUCACCUCAAAGCAGGGGCUGAAUGAAAGACCACAUUCAUCACACCCUCAAGAGUGACCACUCCUUCUGGUUCCAUUUUCAGCAAUGUCUGGGUGCCACGUGUCCAUGUUACCUCAAAACGAGAAGAAUCAGAAGUUGCUGUGGACACCAAGCAAUUAAUCACUCCAUCACUAUUGGCUUGGAUUUUCAGAGGAGACCUAAGGCUGGUGGAGACAGACAGCUUGCUAUCUAAAAUGCAAACAAAAGCAUCAUCUACAGUCUGCACACCAUUGUGAUCAAUUUGAGCUACAAUCAUGUUGUUUCUCAGCCAAGUCAUGGAGAACAAAUAUCCAGGUAGAUUCUGAGCCUCUAAUCUGCAGUGGAUCUCCAUCAUGUCUCCUUCCU
This is a long non-coding RNA of Tachysurus fulvidraco (yellow catfish), 639 nucleotides long. RefSeq lists it as uncharacterized. The transcript has 3 exons. NCBI's taxonomy places the organism in Eukaryota, Metazoa, Chordata, Actinopteri, Siluriformes, Bagridae. The record is from RefSeq and is a predicted model, not a curated record.